CAAUAGCGUAUAUUAAAGUUGUUGCAGUUAAAAAGCUCGUAGUUGGAUUUCUGGUCGGAAGCUCCUGUCUUCUGAUGAGCGUACAAGUGCGUCCUACCAUCCUUCUGUUAACCUUUAAGGCUUUCGCGGCUUUCUAGGGGCUCAGAUAUUUUACCUUGAGAAAAUUAGAGUGUUUCAGGCAGGCUAGCGCCGGAAUACAUUAGCAUGGAAUAAUGGAAUAGGACUUUUGCCUCUUCUGUUGGUCAUGAGGCUCGAGUAAUGAUUAAUAGGGAUAGUUGGGGGCAUUAGUACUUAACUGUCAGAGGUGAAAUUCUCGGAUUUGUUAAAGACUAACUUAUGCGAAAGCAUUUGCCAAGGAUGUUUUCAUUAA
RNAcentral lists this ribosomal RNA (370 nucleotides) under uncultured eukaryote. RNAcentral describes it as "partial 18S ribosomal RNA". It matches the Rfam family "Eukaryotic small subunit ribosomal RNA", at positions 592 to 976 of the family's 1831-position model. The record is from RNAcentral.